ACGCUCGACACCUACGGGAGCAGCAGUGGGGAAUAUUGCACAAUGGGGGAAACCCUGAUGCAGCGACGCCGCGUGAAGGAUGAAGUAUUUCGGUAUGUAAACUUCUAUCAGCAGGGAAGAAAGUGACGGUACCUGACUAAGAAGCCCCGGCUAACUACGUGCCACAGCCGCGGUAAUCUGAGCGGGCUGGCAAGGC
Molecule: ribosomal RNA, 196 nt
Filed under: uncultured bacterium
Lineage: Bacteria
Description: partial 16S ribosomal RNA
Rfam family: Bacterial small subunit ribosomal RNA
Source: RNAcentral